Molecule: non-coding RNA, 32 nt
Filed under: Mus musculus (house mouse)
Lineage: Eukaryota; Metazoa; Chordata; Mammalia; Rodentia; Muridae
Source: RNAcentral
UGAACAUUUGAAACCUCAAAGCCUAGCCGCAG